Long non-coding RNA from Rhododendron vialii, 1662 nucleotides. RefSeq lists it as uncharacterized. The transcript has 2 exons. The record is from RefSeq and is a predicted model, not a curated record. NCBI's taxonomy places the organism in Eukaryota, Viridiplantae, Streptophyta, Magnoliopsida, Ericales, Ericaceae.
UCACACCUCACUUCUCAUUUUCAAUUUUUAGUUAAAGAGAGAGAGAGAGAGAGAGAGAGAGAGUUAAAAGAGAAAAAAAAUUGAGAGUUUAUUUUCUAAAUAGCUAGUGAUGUUUUGGAUUGGUGGGCUAGUGGUGUAUUUAGUCGGAAGAUGGAAAAAUGUUUUAAGGCAUUGAUUCGUAGACAUAACAGCUGGGCAUAUUUUGAGGUAAUCCGGAGAGUAUACGAUAUGCUUCCCACUUCCGAAAUUCUUUCUUUACUCUCAUUUUUGUACUCUUUUUGAUUAUCUCGUGAUAUUUGUUCAAUCUUGUAGAUAUCAUUGGAAAGUGGAAUAAUUAGUAUCGAAUAUGAUAAAGUUGUUGGCUGAGUACUAUAGAACUGUUUAGUACAGGGAUCGAGUGAAUUCAUGCACCAAUAGCCUAUCCAAUAGCCAGAAUGGGUCGAGGAUGACUCGGUAAGGAAGGUAUUGGGAGAGGGUCACUGAUUAUGUACUGAGGAGGACAUGGUAUGAGGUCCUUUGUGAUUGUUGUUUCGACUUGGUGGUCGAUUAUCGCUUAUUAAUUCCACUUGAAUAUAAGAUUAUUAUUCUGUUGUAUCGUAUACUUCCCGAAUAAUUUCUUUUUCAGGUGCGGAACCGGAUUAGUGGAAAUUGAGUCGGAGCAUAUAAGGAUUAAGUUGAAGAGGUCUUGGAAGAUUUGAUAAUUUUGGAGCAUCUAGAAGACUAUUUAGAAGACAACUUAAGUUAUUUUGGUAAUGUAAUUUAUUUAUGGUGAAAUUAGGAGCUUAGAAGUGUUUGAAAUGUAGUGUAUUUUGGAGUUUAUUUAUAGAAAAUAGCGGGGCGUUACACUGAACUUCUCAAAAUAUGUUGUUCUUUAGGUUGACAUGAUGAUUUUUUUUUUUUUUUGGUAAAUUAGCUUGAAAUUAAAAGAGGUUAACCGAAUGUACAGCCUAUGUAGAGACUCGUAUUAUUUUCUUUUUUUUAGGCUAUAUAUAUUUUUUUUGUUUUUUUUGUUAAUGUAUAGCCCGUCAAGAUAGACAGUGCGGAUAUUCGGUGUGACGUCUUCGUUGGAAAAUAUAAGGGUAAUUGUGUGAAGGGUGCACGUGUGAGUGUGGUGCGAGAAGCGGGGGAUUGCUCCCCACUUCUACAAUUUCCCCAGGAGAACCAUUUCCUCCCUUUCUCACUCUCUCGGCAGUCUCUCUCUCCUCUUCUCCUCCGAAAACUCUCUCCUCGAUUGCAUCUAUUUAGAACGUGGUUUCGAACAAAGUUCAAGAAUUAAAAUUGUUAUACGGCGCAUGGGCUUUCCGAAUAUCCAAGAAAAAUCAUGAUCGGACCGCGUGGGAGCUUGGUUGACUUGGUCAAAGGUUCGGGUUUUGCUCAAAACCCAUGAGGUACACUACAUGGACACAGUCUUGGAGGUUGUGAAGUGCAUGCAGACAUCACAGGCUAAAGUUAUUUUCUGAAGAACUUGUCUUUCCUUUGUAAAUCAAACUGUAUUGUACUAUUUUCUCUAAUUUGAAAUACUGUAUUAUAUAGUUGACAAAAUUGUGAGAUUUAGAAACUGUAUGUUAUGUUGUAAUUUGGGGUACCGUAUGUACUAUUGUGAGGAUUUGUAUUUAAAAUGGUAUUGUUAUUUAUGUUAAAAAUUGAGGGCGUGACAGCCUA